GAGAAGCUAAGCAGUGAGGAGAACAGCAACCCAGACCUCUCUGGAGUUGAGAAUGAUGAUGCCGUCAGUAUAGAAAGUGUUACAAACACUGAAUGCUCUGAUAUACCUACAAACACGCCAAAGACACCUGAAAGGAAAAGUUGAGGAAAGGGAAAAUGGAAGUCAAAGAAAUGCAAAUAUUCUUUCUAAUGUAUAAACAGUCUCGAGGAAGAUCAUAACCAACCAUUGUUUGGAGUUCAGUUUAACUGGCACAGUAAAAAAGGAGAUCCAUUAGUGUUUGCAACUGUAGGAAGCAACAGAGUUAGCUUGUAUGAAUGUCAUUCACAGGGAGAAAUCCGGUUGCUGCAAUCUUACAUGGAUUC
Molecule: long non-coding RNA, 362 nt
Filed under: Homo sapiens (human)
Lineage: Eukaryota; Metazoa; Chordata; Mammalia; Primates; Hominidae
Description: non-protein coding lnc-ENOPH1-4:1
Source: RNAcentral